This is a long non-coding RNA of Bos taurus (domestic cattle), 3861 nucleotides long. NCBI's taxonomy places the organism in Eukaryota, Metazoa, Chordata, Mammalia, Artiodactyla, Bovidae. The record is from Ensembl.
CUCGGGGCGGGCGCUCGAUCUACCCUUGGAACUUUGAGUCCUAGGCUGGGCCCUGGGGGAUCUUAUUAAUAAUUCCCCGACCAAGGAACCCACUCCCUCUGCAGAAGAAGCGUGGAGUCUUAACCACUGGACUGCCAGGCAGAGUGAAAUUGUUAUGACCACCCAGCCCAGAAGAAUUGAUGCUUUUGAACUGUGGUGUUGGAGAAGACUUUUGAGAGUCCCUUGGGCUGCAAGGAGAUCAAACCAGUCCAUCCUAAAGAAAAUCAGUCCUGAAUACUCAUUGGAAGGACUGAUGCUGAAGUUGAAGCUCCAGUACUUUGACCACCUGAUGCAAAGAGCCGACUCAUUGGUAAAGACUUUGAUGCUGGGAAACAUUGAGGGUAGGAGGAGUAGGGGGCAGAAGAAGAUGAGAUAGCUGGAUGGCAUCACUGACUCAAUAGACAUGAGUUUGGGCAAACUCUGGGAGAUGGUGAAGAAUAGGGAAGCCUGGCAUGCUGCAGUUCAUGGGGUAGCAAAGAGUCAGAUAUGACUGAGCCACUGAACAACAACAACAACCCCAACCGAGACUUAUUCCUAACUGAUCUCUGGACUGUACAAAUGGUUGUCCUUCCAUUGAGGAGGUGGGGACAGGCAAUAUUUGAUGCUUAAAUACACUAAUAAGCUCUGAAAAACAUAAACACCUUUAAGAAAAUACACUGGGGUUAUGAGAGGAGAGAGUGCUGGGGGAAAGCAGAGUGAUGGCUAAUUGAGAAAGAUAGUCAGGGACAUGUUUGAAUAUUCUUCCUAGUGGAGGCGUGGAAGGGAGGUCUGUGUUUGUCACUGGAAAGCCCCUCAUCUGGCCUCUGCCAACCUGUUCUUCCUGGGCAGCUGGGGACCCUGGGAGUGCUUAGGAGUUUUCUGUUUUCUGACUGUGGCCGUGAUGACGAGACCUGGUAUCCCAGGUGUCAAGGCAGUGUCUCAGAGCAGUUGUUUUUUUUUUAAUUUAUUUGGCUGCAGUGGGUCUUAGUUGUGGCACAUGGGAUCUAGUACCCUGACAAGGAAUUGAACCGGGCCCCUGUAUUGGGAUCUUAGCCAAUGGACCACCAGAGAAUUGCCAAUAAUACUAAUUUAAAAAAAACCCUGGAUACUCACAACUGUGGUCUGAAUGUUUGUGUCUCCACCCCCUCACUCUGUAUUGAAAUUCUAACCACCACGGUGAUAAUAUUAGGAGGUACAGCCUUUGGAAGGGAAUGAGGUCAUGAGGGUGGGUCUCUUGUGAAUGGGAUUAGUGCCCUUAUAAAGAUACCCAAGACUCCCUGAUAUACACUAUUAUAAGGGGCAAAUGUGGGCAAGAGAUAGUUUGGAGUUAUCCACAGCCUUGGUUGCUAAAUGCAGCCUAUUGCCUGUUCCUGUACAGCCAGUGAGUUAAGAAUGGCCUUUUCAUUUUCAAAUGGCUGGAAAAAACAAUUCACAAUUUGAAAAUGAUCUACAAUUCAAAUUUCAGUGACCAAGGAGCUGGGGGGGAUAGAACAGACUUUGCUGAAGGGUAUAAACUUGGACUGAGUAGUAAAUAAAUCCUAGAAUUCCACAGAUGCACAGAAGAGUAAAUACAAGUUAAAAUGUUGUAUUAUAAUCAUCAGACUUGCUAAGAGACUAGCAACUUAACUAUUUCCACCACUAAAAAGAAAUGUUGAUUAUAUAACAUCUGGGCUUCCCUGGUGGCUCGGACGUUAAAGAAUCUGUCUGCAAUGCAGGAAACCCAGGUUUGAUCCCUGGAUUGGGAAGAUCCCCUGAAAAUGGGAAUGGCUAGCCACUCCAUUAUUCUUGCCUGGAGAAUUCCAAGGACAGAGGAGCCUAGUGGGCUACAGUCCAUGGGAUCACAAAGAGUUGGACAUGACUGAGAGACCAACACUUUCACAGAGGUGCUAAUUAUGGAUACAAUCGCAACCAUAUUACAAUAUAUGUCAGUUAUACUAUAUAAAUGUAUCAAAUGUUGGACACCUUAAAUUUAUACAAUGUUACAUGUCAAAUAUAUUUCAAUUAAAAAGUCCAUGGGACUUUCUUGGUGGUCCAUUUGCUAAGACUCUGUGCUCCCACGGCAGGGGGCCUGAGUUCAAUCCCUGGUCAGGGAACUAGGUCCCACAUGCCCCAACUAAGAGUUUAUAUGCUGUAACUAAGAGUUUGGAUGUAGCCACUAAAAAUACUGCAUACCACAACUAAAAGAGCCUUCAUGCUGCAAUGGAGAUGGAAAGCCCAGGUGCUGCAACUGAGACCUGGCACAGUCAAAUAAAUAAAAAAUAAAACAAUUAUCUGAAAAGUCAGAGUCCAUAAAUAAAGUUGUUUUUAAAAUUUAAUUUAUGUUUUGGCUUUGGUAGGCCUUCAUUGCUGUGCAUGGGCUUUCUCUAGUUGCAGCGAGCAGGGGCAUUGUGGUGGCUUCUCUCAUUAUAGAGCACAGGUUCUAGGUACCUCGGCUUCAUAGUUGUGGAGCUUGGGCUUAGUCGUUCAGUGGCUCGCGGCAGGGAUCGAACUGGCAGAGUCUUAAUCACUGGGCCACCACGGAAGUCCCAUAAAUAAAGUUUUAUUGACACACAGUUGUGCUCAUUUGUUUACCUAUUAUCCCGGGCUGCUUUUAUGCUACAAAGCAGAAUUGAGUCAUUGCAACAGAGACAGCCUGGCCCUUGAAGCAGAAAAUAUUUCCAGUCCAGCCCUUUCCAGAUCUUUGUAGACCCCUGCUCUAAAGGAGCCUGAGGUCUGAAUGUCAGCUGAUGCUGACUUGGGGCUUUUGGGGGUGUCUACUGGUUGGCACAGCAAAGAGGUCAGAAGGAGUCGGUGUUGGAGGGGCAUGGGGACGCGCAGAAGGUUCUGAUGAUUAACACUAGGGAGAGGGUGAUGGGGAUACCCCCCGGGGAGGGGACGUUCGUGUCUUCAAGGUGAUAUGGGGUUGAGCGCUGAGACUGGCAGGCUGAUGGAGGCACAGCAGGGUCACAGACAGGAAGCCUAGAUCUGCCUCGAGUAAUCCCCACCCCUGGCCACCCACCAGAGCUGACAGAUGAGACAGAAGCAUCCCAUGAACCACCACCACCCUGUCAUCUAACCAGUCAUGGGACCCUACCUCCUGUUUCUCCCUUUCCUCUGCUUUUCCCUGUCCCUCCCUGGUGCCAUCAUCUGUCACUGUCUGGGUCUGGAGAUGUGCCCCAACUUCAUACCUCAGUGUCCCUGACCCCUCAUCUCUUUUCUCAGUGUAGCCUGCACACUUAACUUUCCUAUCUUUCUUUCUUUUUUCUUCUUUCCUUUUAAAAAAAAUGGAGACAAAAUAUAUGAACAUAAAGUUAACCAUUUUAAAGUGUACAAGGCCCUGGCAUUUAGGAGAAACACAAGGUUGGGCAACCGUCACCAACUACCCAUCUGCAGGAAGCUUCCGUCACACCAAGAAACCCUGUACCUGUGAGCUGUCGCUCCCACCCCCUUCCUUUAGUCUCUGGCAACCAGUAAUCUGUUUUCUGUCUCUGUGGGUUUCCCUCUUCUGGACAUUUCAUAUCAAUGGAAUCGUACACCAGGUAGUCUUUCAUUAGCUUGGUGGGGUUUUUGUUUGUUUAUUUUGUUUUUGGCCAUGCUCAUGUCUUGUGGGAUCUUAGUUCUAUGAUCAAGGAUCGAACCCAGGCCCUCGGCAAUGAACAUGUGCAGAGUCCUAACAACUGGAACACCAGGGAAUUCCUGUUAGCUUGUUUUUGAAACUCAUUCACUUUGUAGCAGGUAUCUAAAGCUCAAUCCUUUUCUGAAUGAAUACUCCAUUGCAUGGAUGUACCACAAUUUUUUAAAUCCAUUCAUUUGUGGAGGGGCAUGUGGGUUACUUCCACCUUAACUUAUGACAUAAAUAUACCU